This 253-nucleotide ribosomal RNA is filed under the name uncultured bacterium. RNAcentral's name for it is "partial 16S ribosomal RNA". It matches the Rfam family "Bacterial small subunit ribosomal RNA", at positions 524 to 776 of the family's 1533-position model. The record is from RNAcentral.
GACGAACCGUGCAAACGUUAUUCGGAAUCACUGGGCAUAAAGGGCGCGUAGGCGGCUUUCUAAGUCAGGGGUGAAAUCCGGCAGCUCAACUGUCGCAGUGCCUUUGAUACUGGACGUCUGGAGUUCGGGAGAGGUGAGUGGAAUUCCGAGUGUAGAGGUGAAAUUCGUAGAUAUUCGGAGGAACACCAGAAGCGAAGGCGGCUCACUGGCCCGAUACUGACGCUGAGGCGCGAAAGCGUGGGGAGCAAACAGG